UGGGCAUGAUGAUGAUUUGUUUACUGUGUUAUUUUUAUAUGCUGAAACAAUUACCUCCUACUCAUUCAGA
Molecule: small nucleolar RNA, 70 nt
Organism: Pistacia vera
Lineage: Eukaryota; Viridiplantae; Streptophyta; Magnoliopsida; Sapindales; Anacardiaceae
Product: small nucleolar RNA Z105
Exons: 1
Source: RefSeq, a predicted model, not a curated record